AGAGUUUGAUCAUGGCUCAGAGCGAACGCUGGCGGCGUGCUUAACACAUGCAAGUCGAACGCGCAGUCCGGUGUAGCAAUACAUCGGGCGGGCGCGUGGCGAACGGGUGCGUAACACGUGGAUAACCUUCCUUCAGGUGGGGAAUAACUCGCCGAAAGGCGAGCUAAUACCGCAUAACAUUGCGAGGACACAUGUUCUUGCAAUCAAACCCGCAAGGGGCCAGUAGAGGGAUCCGCGGCCGAUUAGCUAGUUGGCGAGGUAACGGCUCACCAAGGCAAAGAUCGGUAGCCGGUCUGAGAGGAUGAUCGGUCACACUGGAACUGAGACACGGUCCAGACUCCUACGGGAGGCAGCAGUGGGGAAUCUUGCGCAAUGGGCGAAAGCCUGACGCAGCAACGCCGCGUGGGGGAUGAAGCUUCUCGGAGUGUAAACCCCUUUCGACCCGGACGAAUGCCCGCAAGGGCUUGACGGUACGGGUAUAAGAAGCCCCGGCUAACUACGUGCCAGCAGCCGCGGUAAAACGUAGGGGGCCAGCGUUGCUCGGAAUUACUGGGCGUAAAGGGUCCGUAGGCGGUGUGGCAAGUCGGAAGUGAAAUCUCUGGGCUUAACUCAGAGGCUGCUUCCGAAACUGCCGUGCUCGAGUGCGAGAGAGGCAAGUGGAAUUGCGGGUGUAGCGGUGAAAUGCGUAGAUAUCCGCAGGAACAUCCGAGGCGAAAGCGGCUUGCUGGAUCGCAACUGACGCUGAGGGACGAAAGCUAGGGGAGCAAACAGGAUUAGAUACCCUGGUAGUCCUAGCCCUAAACCAUCAGGACUUGGGGUUUGCCCUGUACGGGGCAAGUCCCGGAGCUAACGCGUUAAGUCCUGCGCCUGGGGAGUACGGUCGCAAGGCUGAAACUCAAGGAAUUGACGGGGCCCGCACAAGCGGUGGAACAUGUGGUUCAAUUCGACGCAACGCGAAGAACCUUACCUGGGCUUGAACCGCACAGGAUCAUUCCUGG
RNAcentral lists this ribosomal RNA (998 nucleotides) under uncultured bacterium. RNAcentral describes it as "bacterial SSU rRNA". It matches the Rfam family "Bacterial small subunit ribosomal RNA", at positions 8 to 1004 of the family's 1533-position model. The record is from RNAcentral.